Long non-coding RNA from Cervus elaphus (red deer), 514 nucleotides. RefSeq lists it as uncharacterized. The record is from RefSeq and is a predicted model, not a curated record. NCBI's taxonomy places the organism in Eukaryota, Metazoa, Chordata, Mammalia, Artiodactyla, Cervidae. The transcript has 4 exons.
UCUCUGGGUCUUGACAAGAACAUAGAAGCCUACUGAAUUCCUAUGGACUGAAUGAGAGAAAGAUGAUUAAGCGGAAGGAGACCACCUCAUCAUCUGCACUCGGAGAAGCACUGGUCCUUCUGUUAUUCCCCGUGUUUCAGGCCCGAACCAUUGGUAUUUUCUAGAGCUUCAUCAUUGAUUCCCAGCUCUUCUCUUCUUACAAAGUCUCGCAGAGUAGCUCUUCAUCCAUGCUUUUCAACAGAUGCCCAAGGACAGCAUCCUUUGUGCCAGAGUCCUGAACUGAACUUGAAGCUCUUGUUAGAACAAGGGAGGAAGCCUACCUCUAGUUCCAUCUUCACGUGAGCAUCUGCCCUCGACAGUUUACAGGAGUAGGCUGAAAAAUCAGUUCUUUUACAAUUUUAUGUAACAUCUGCCAGAAGAAACAGAAGAUUAUAAAAAUGAGACUUAUCAAAGUUCAUCUUCCAACAAAGAGGGCAAACCAUUCAGUGUCAUGGUAAUCCAAGCCUAUGCCCCA